AUUGAACGCUGGCGGCAUGCCUUACACAUGCAAGUCGAACGGUAACAGGUCUUCGGAUGCUGACGAGUGGCGAACGGGUGAGUAAUACAUCGGAACGUGCCUAGUAGUGGGGGAUAACUACUCGAAAGAGUGGCUAAUACCGCAUGAGAUCUACGGAUGAAAGCAGGGGAUCGCAAGACCUUGUGCUACUAGUGCGGCCGAUGGCAGAUUAGGUAGUUGGUGGGAUAAAAGCUUACCAAGCCGACGAUCUGUAGCUGGUCUGAGAGGACGAUCAGCCACACUGGGACUGAGACACGGCCCAGACUCCUACGGGAGGCAGCAGUGGGGAAUUUUGGACAAUGGGCGCAAGCCUGAUCUAGCAAUGCCGCGUGCAGGAUGAAGGCCUUCGGGUUGUAAACUGCUUUUGUACGGAACGAAAAGCCCCGGGUUAAUACCCUGGGGGUCAUGACGGUACCGUGAGAAUAAGCACCGGCUAACUACGUGCCAGCCGCCGCCGUAA
RNAcentral lists this ribosomal RNA (499 nucleotides) under uncultured bacterium. Its description in RNAcentral is "partial 16S ribosomal RNA". It matches the Rfam family "Bacterial small subunit ribosomal RNA", at positions 30 to 523 of the family's 1533-position model. The record is from RNAcentral.